RNAcentral lists this ribosomal RNA (700 nucleotides) under Faecalibacterium prausnitzii. RNAcentral's name for it is "bacterial SSU rRNA". It matches the Rfam family "Bacterial small subunit ribosomal RNA", at positions 436 to 1162 of the family's 1533-position model. Lineage: Bacteria; Bacillati; Bacillota; Clostridia; Eubacteriales; Oscillospiraceae. The record is from RNAcentral.
GUGUUGAGGAAGAUAAUGACGGUACUCAACAAGGAAGUGACGGCUAACUACGUGCCAGCAGCCGCGGUAAAACGUAGGUCACAAGCGUUGUCCGGAAUUACUGGGUGUAAAGGGAGCGCAGGCGGGAAGACAAGUUGGAAGUGAAAUCCAUGGGCUCAACCCAUGAACUGCUUUCAAAACUGUUUUUCUUGAGUAGUGCAGAGGUAGGCGGAAUUCCCGGUGUAGCGGUGGAAUGCGUAGAUAUCGGGAGGAACACCAGUGGCGAAGGCGGCCUACUGGGCACCAACUGACGCUGAGGCUCGAAAGUGUGGGUAGCAAACAGGAUUAGAUACCCUGGUAGUCCACACYGUAAACGAUGAUUACUAGGUGUUGGAGGAUUGACCCCUUCAGUGCCGCAGUUAACACAAUAAGUAAUCCACCUGGGGAGUACGACCGCAAGGUUGAAACUCAAAGGAAUUGACGGGGGCCCGCACAAGCAGUGGAGUAUGUGGUUUAAUUCGACGCAACGCGAAGAACCUUACCAAGUCUUGACAUCCCUUGACGAUGCUGGAAACAGUAUUUCUCUUCGGAGCAAGGAGACAGGUGGUGCAUGGUUGUYGUCAGCUCGUGUCGUGAGAUGUUGGGUUAAGUCCCGCAACGAGCGCAACCCUUAUGGUCAGUUACUACGCAAGAGGACUCUGGCCAGACUGCCGUUGACAAA